RNAcentral lists this ribosomal RNA (451 nucleotides) under uncultured bacterium. Its description in RNAcentral is "bacterial SSU rRNA". It matches the Rfam family "Bacterial small subunit ribosomal RNA", at positions 354 to 797 of the family's 1533-position model. The record is from RNAcentral.
GUGGGGAAUUUUGGACAAUGGGCGCAAGCCUGAUCCAGCCAUGCCGCGUGCAGGAUGAAGGCCUUCGGGUUGUAAACUGCUUUUGUACGGAACGAAAAGACUCUUUCUAAUAAAGAGGGUCCAUGACGGUACCGUAAGAAUAAGCACCGGCUAACUACGUGCCAGCAGCCGCGGUAAUACGUAGGGUGCAAGCGUUAAUCGGAAUUACUGGGCGUAAAGCGUGCGCAGGCGGUUAUGUAAGACAGAUGUGAAAUCCCCGGGCUCAACCUGGGAACUGCAUUUGUGACUGCAUAGCUAGAGUACGGCAGAGGGGGAUGGAAUUCCGCGUGUAGCAGUGAAAUGCGUAGAUAUGCGGAGGAACACCGAUGGCGAAGGCAAUCCCCUGGGCCUGUACUGACGCUCAUGCACGAAAGCGUGGGGAGCAAACAGGAUUAGAAACCCUAGUAGUCCC